This 1347-nucleotide ribosomal RNA is filed under the name uncultured bacterium. RNAcentral's name for it is "partial 16S ribosomal RNA". It matches the Rfam family "Bacterial small subunit ribosomal RNA", at positions 28 to 1381 of the family's 1533-position model. The record is from RNAcentral.
GACGAACGCUGUUUGGCGUGCUUAACACAUGCAAGUCGAACGGAAAGGCCCUGCUUUUGUGGGGUGCUCGAGUGGCGAACGGGUGAGUAACACGUGAGUAACCUGCCCUUGACUUUGGGAUAACUUCAGGAAACUGGGGCUAAUACCGGAUAGGAGCUCCUGCUGCAUGGUGGGGGUUGGAAAGUUUCGGCGGUUGGGGAUGGACUCGCGGCUUAUCAGCUUGUUGGUGGGGUAGUGGCUUACCAAGGCUUUGACGGGUAGCCGGCCUGAGAGGGUGACCGGCCACAUUGGGACUGAGAUACGGCCCAGACUCCUACGGGAGGCAGCAGUGGGGAAUAUUGCACAAUGGGCGGAAGCCUGAUGCAGCAACGCCGCGUGCGGGAUGACGGCCUUCGGGUUGUAAACCGCUUUCGCCUGUGACGAAGCGUGAGUGACGGUAAUGGGUAAAGAAGCACCGGCUAACUACGUGCCAGCAGCCGCGGUGAUACGUAGGGUGCGAGCGUUGUCCGGAUUUAUUGGGCGUAAAGGGCUCGUAGGUGGUUGAUCGCGUCGGAAGUGUAAUCUUGGGGCUUAACCCUGAGCGUGCUUUCGAUACGGGUUGACUUGAGGAAGGUAGGGGAGAAUGGAAUUCCUGGUGGAGCGGUGGAAUGCGCAGAUAUCAGGAGGAACACCAGUGGCGAAGGCGGUUCUCUGGGCCUUUCCUGACGCUGAGGAGCGAAAGCGUGGGGAGCGAACAGGCUUAGAUACCCUGGUAGUCCACGCUGUAAACGGUGGGUACUAGGUGUGGGGUCCAUUCCACGGGUUCCGUGCCGUAGCUAACGCUUUAAGUACCCCGCCUGGGGAGUACGGCCGCAAGGCUAAAACUCAAAGGAAUUGACGGGGCCCCGCACAAGCGGCGGAGCAUGCGGAUUAAUUCGAUGCAACGCGUAGAACCUUACCUGGGUUUGACAUGGAUCGGGAGUGCUCAGAGAUGGGUGUGCCUCUUUUGGGGUCGGUUCACAGGUGGUGCAUGGCUGUCGUCAGCUCGUGUCGUGAGAUGUUGGGUUAAGUCCCGCAACGAGCGCAACCCUUGUUCACUGUUGCCAGCACGUUAUGGUGGGGACUCAGUGGAGACCGCCGGGGUCAACUCGGAGGAAGGUGGGGAUGACGUCAAGUCAUCAUGCCCCUUAUGUCCAGGGCUUCACGCAUGCUACAAUGGCUGGUACAGAGAGUGGCGAGCCUGUGAGGGUGAGCGAAUCUCGGAAAGCCGGUCUCAGUUCGGAUUGGGGUCUGCAACUCGACCUCAUGGAGUCGGAGUCGCUAGUAAUCGCAGAUCAGCAACGCUGCGGUGAAUACGUUCCCGGGGCU